Molecule: ribosomal RNA, 379 nt
Filed under: uncultured bacterium
Lineage: Bacteria
Description: partial 16S ribosomal RNA
Rfam family: Bacterial small subunit ribosomal RNA
Source: RNAcentral
CCUACGGGAGGCAGCAGUGGGGAAUAUUGCACAAUGGGGGAAACCCUGAUGCAGCGAUGCCGCGUGAGUGAAGAAGUAAUUCGGUAUGUAAAGUUCUAUCAGCAGGGAAGAAAAUGACGGUACUAGAGUAAGAAGCCCCGGCUAAUGACGGUACAGCAGACGCGGGAAUACGGAGGGGGCAAGCUCUAUCCGGAUUUACUGGGUGUAACGGGAACGUAGGCGGCAGAGCAAGGCUGGAGUGAAAGGCGGGGGCUCAACCCCCGAACUGCUCUGGAUACUGUCCGGCUGGAGUGCAGGAGAGGUAAGUAGAAUUCCAGGUGUAGCGGUGAAAUGCGUAGAUAUUAGGAGGAACACCAGUGGCGAAGGCGGCUUACUGGAC